GGACACAACCACCGCCGGUACUCGACGCAUCACUGACAAGAUCUCCAGUGUCAGCGCUCGCCUGGCAUCGCCUGCAUCUGAUUUCGGUCGCCGUUGUCCCUUCCCACUUUGCUCCGGCGACAUGGGUGGUGACUCCCACCUCUGCCCGCCUCCUCCGAUCAUGCUCGGUUAUAGAGGACCAGCUGAACAACUUGGGGGCUGGGUGAAGUUCACUAAUUAGUUUAGUGUUUUCCAGAUAUUGUUUUGUUGCAGUUCAGUAAGGUUUUUACUUUUCUUUUUAAUGUGUUUGAUGUGGGUGCAUCUCCCUCAGGGACCAUAGACGACAAGCGCGGAGAUGGCUAGCAUCAGCUCAGGGUUCACGAUGUUGUGCUAUGGUUCAGUUGCCGCCGGAAUACAAAAAUGACCAGCAAAAGAGUGAGGAAAAAGUGCACUGCAAGCCCAGAUGAGACUAUAAAAGAAACAAGUUCACUGCACGCCACUCGUUCCCUUGUUCUUUAUCUCUGGUCUUUGUCAGUUGCGGUGUUGUUUCUGAGAAAUGCAGUGCGCCGGCGCCGGCUUGCAUUUCACUGUAGUUCGUUCGCCCCGCCUCGUAGUAGUCAAGAGAUGUAUAGAUCGCAGCUCUCUCGAAAACCUGCAUUGAAGCAAACAACAAAAAAACUUUUUUUAGGUGCAGCUCACUUGUUUCAUUGCCGCAGUGAUCUUCUCUCUCCCAAUGGUUCACUAUGUUGCCAAGUGCAAAAACAAAUUGGAAAAGUUUAUUUUUUUAGUGCA
Molecule: long non-coding RNA, 771 nt
Organism: Triticum aestivum (bread wheat)
Lineage: Eukaryota; Viridiplantae; Streptophyta; Magnoliopsida; Poales; Poaceae
Exons: 2
Source: RefSeq, a predicted model, not a curated record